Molecule: non-coding RNA, 668 nt
Filed under: Pongo abelii (Sumatran orangutan)
Lineage: Eukaryota; Metazoa; Chordata; Mammalia; Primates; Hominidae
Source: RNAcentral
ACUAGAUGACACGCCCCUCGGGCUGUCGGGGGGUCGAGAUAGUGGAGGGUUCCUGAUGCCAGCUCACGGCGGGAAUCCAGGGAAUUAGGUAAUGAACGGUCUACCCAUGAAGGGGACCAAUUAGUGCCUCUCGCGUGGUCCUGAAGACCUUUAAAUUAUUCUUUCAGCUGAUGCGAAGAGCCUCUUUUUGGGCAGCACUUACUAAGCACCAGAGACACAGCGAGAAGCAGAAGCAUACGAGCACAUCAGUGUGAUUCUGCUGUGAUGAAGGGGAAGAGAGGGCUCACUUUCGGGGGUGACAUUCAAGCUGGCCCCAAGGCCCGAGCAGGACCUGCCCAGGGGAAGAUCUGGAGGAAAGCCAUCUGAACAUACAAGAGCAAAGGCCUGGUGGAGUCAGGACCACCUUGGCUGCCAGGUGGAAUGGUGGAAUAACUCAGGAGUCUGUCAGGUCUCUGAGAUGUCAAACGGGCUUGGCACACACCCAGGAGCUCAAUGCUGCUGGGAGCUGAGCAGCUGGGAGCAAGGAGCCCUCAUCCCCACUGAUGAAGAGGCCAGCCCAGGCUCUAGGCUAAGCAGGCCUGUGAUUAUAAACAGCAGUGUCUCCCUGGACAAGUUUCUUGACCCCUGAGAAGAAUCUUGGAUCAUCAGCUUUGUGAGGGGAGAGGCAG